UACGGGGGGGGCAAGCGUUGUUCGGAAUUACUGGGCGUAAAGGGCGCGUAGGCGGCCCUCUAAGUCAGACGUGAAAUCCCACGGCUCAACCGUGGAACUGCGUCUGAUACUGGAGGGCUUGAAUCCGGGAGAGGGAUGUGGAAUUCCAGGUGUAGCGGUGAAAUGCGUAGAUAUCUGGAGGAACACCGGUGGCGAAGGCGGCAUCCUGUACCGGUAUUGACGCUGAGGCGCGAAAGCUAGGGGAGCAAACGGG
Molecule: ribosomal RNA, 253 nt
Filed under: uncultured bacterium
Lineage: Bacteria
Description: partial 16S ribosomal RNA
Rfam family: Bacterial small subunit ribosomal RNA
Source: RNAcentral